RNAcentral lists this long non-coding RNA (4649 nucleotides) under Durio zibethinus. RNAcentral describes it as "long non-coding RNA (DZIB_LNC000294)". The record is from RNAcentral. Lineage: Eukaryota; Viridiplantae; Streptophyta; Magnoliopsida; Malvales; Malvaceae.
UCAUUUUCUUCUAUCCUUCUUUUCGUUCUCUCUUUCUCCCCGUCUCUUUCAUCUCACCACAAAAAACCCAUCUGCGUCGCCCUUUCUCACUCCUCCGAUCGCAGGCAACCCUAAACUCACCUUAACCACCCAUAACUGUUACUGAUAGGCGACCUGCCUCUUCUUUGCCCACCUAUUGUAUAAACUGUAAAGUCAAUAUGUGAAAUUUUCUCCGUCUCAAGGGGCUGUGUUUAUGCUUAUAAAGAUUUAGAAACGACUCUUUAUCGUCGACUGACUUCUCUUCAUCACAAGACUAAUUAGAUUUGCUACCCCUGCUGCUCUAACUGCUACUUUCAUUGGUGACUUCAUCGUCUCAGACUCUGCACUUUGAUCGAGGAAUACUUUUAAAAAGAAACACAGCUUUUGCCGAAACGAGGUAAGGUACACUCAUCUGCUUAUUUUCAUCAGAAAAGUUAUUUGAUGCAGUUCUAAUGGUGCCAAAAUCAAAUUGCAAAGAUUCUGCACUGAUAAUUUCUUUAUCCAUAGCUACGACGAACAAGUAAUUAUUAUCACUAAAGGUUGAAGUUAAUAUAUAUGGCUGAAUUAGCAAGUAUAAAAAGAAAGAAAUAAAUAAAUAAUCUAUUCCUAUAUAAUUGUUGGAAAGACGUUUAAUCUUACUUUCAACAGUUUCCUUCCUCUUUCUAGCUCUCAAAAAAAAGUAGACGUAAAUGAUAAGUAUCACAACACUGGCAGAUGGAAUAACGACAACGAUGACAAUUCGAGAUGUGUUGUUCUUAUUUCCUGCAAAAAAAGCAAACAUCUGAUUUCAUAACAAGACUUGCUGAUUAAUUAAGUCCUGAAUUAAAAAAAAAAAAAAAGAACAACAAUUUGGAACAAUGAAAAGAGACAAAAAAGAAGACAUAGAUAUGGAGCAUAUAUAAAAUGAUUUGACUCAAUAGAUUUGAAGUAGAUUAUAGGUGUUUUACCCGUUGAGUUUGUGGUUUCAUUGGAGGGCAGAGGAAGAGGAAGAGGAGAUGUCUUUGUGGUUUCAUUAGAGGGUAGAAAAGCUAAGUUGACAAAGGAGAUAGGUAAGAUGCUGGGUAUGGUUGCAAGUUGCAAUGAUGAUGAUGCGAUUCAGAAAUUGAGGGAAUUAGAGGCUGAAGACAAGCGAUUGACUUGAGUGUUAAGGUUCCCAGAUUGAACUGGUAAGCAAUUUUGAUUUGGUGUUUUUUUUUUUUUUUGCGAUUCUCAGGAGCUGGUUCUUUAGUUUUGGGGCAAUCGAAAUUCUUAUCGUGGAAUAUUGAGGAUUAGGAAUUUCGGCAAAAUGGGGAUUGUUAAGAAAUAUGGUUAAUUUUCAUAAAGUAGACAUGGUACUAAGUUCAGGAAACUAACUUUAGGAGAUUUCAAAUGAAAGGAUUCAAAGGAUAUGGCUUGAUGCAAAUUAUAGCAAGUGCUUCUUGACUACAGUUGGAAAUUCGGGUGGAUUGUUAAUGAUUUGGGACAAGGUUAUAACUUUAAUGUUUAAUUUGCUGGCUAAGUACUUUUCAAUACUCAACUAAUUUACAGCUAUCAACAAGAUUUUAACUUUAAGAAAAGAUACAACAAAAGUGCUUCCAUCAAUUUGUUGAGUUAAUUUUUUGAAAAUCUCAAUUUGAAGGUUUUUCUUAUGAAUGCAUAACAGUAUUUAUAAUAUCACUCAAAUAUCCCAUAUGGGAGGAUCAAUUUGGAUUUUAUAUAUUUAUAUAGUUGCUGCCACCCCAUUGCAUUUUAGUACUUGAUUAAUUGUCAUAUUUGGCAAAGACUAUUUAUAUUGUUUGCAAAUCCUAUAGAUGGUUAUCAUUUACUACUAAAUUCUAUACUCUUCCAAUAACUUGUUUGGCAUGUUUCUCGCAAAAGAAUUUACCGCACAUGUUUCUAACAACUUGUUUGGCAUUAUUGUUUGAUCCCAAAAUUGAAUUAUUAUUUUGAUUUGUGUUUUUUUUUUUUUUUUGGUUAUAAAAAACUAAACAUGUUAUCAACCACAUCAGAUAUCUCCUCUGUAGUAUUUCAGUCGAUAACAAAUUCUUUUGCUAGUCGAAUUAUGUUAGAUGAUGAUAAUGAUGAUAAUGAUUCAAUGAAUAAAACUUUAGAUGCUACUAAUGGUAACACAAAUAAAAUACCAGUCACCAAUACCAAUGAUAGAGAAUGUGAUAAUGCUAACCCUAAAGAGUGUGAGGAAGGUAAUGAGAAAAAGAUGCAAAAAAUCUGAUGUUUGGUUGGAGUUUAAAAAAGUCAGUUUUCCUGAUGGUUCUAAAAAAAAGAAUGUGUCCAUUGCAGAAAAAGUUAGCAAUAAAUGCAAGUAAAAAUACAACUCAAUUUAAUAGGCACUUGAUAACUUAUGUUAGGCGAAAAAGUUUUCAGAAUCAAUAACAAAUGAUCAAUUUCUAGCCAAUAGACACAUGUGAUGAUGUAUAGAUAUUACCUGCUCUCACAGAUGACAAGUUUGAUAUGGCAAAGAUGAAAGAAACAGCUGCAUAUUGGAUACUUAUGCACGAGAAUCCUUUUUCAAUUAUGGAAGGUGAAGGCUUUAACAUAAUGCAAAAACGUAUGAUGCUUGAAUGAGAAAAGAUAUCACGCAAUACUAUUAAAGAUUGCAUGCAAGUUUAUAAAGCAAAAAAGAAGAAAUUAAAGGUACUAUUGAAGGCUGUCAACAAUAUUAGUUUGCCAAUAGAUUUGUGAAAGUCAAGUAAUCAAAAAAUUGAGUACAUAGUUCUUACAGCACACUUUAUAGAUUAUAAUUGAAGAUUGCAAAAGCGCAUUAUUAGCUUUAUUCACAUACCUCAUCCUCGUUACGAUGUUGAGAUUGUCGAUUAUAUUUUUAAGUGUCUAAAAGAAUGAGGAAUUGAAAACAAGGUGUUUACAUUUUCUGUGGAUAAUGUUUUAAGUAAUGAUGUAACAAUUAGAAUUCUUAAAGACAUUUUUUUAAGAAAUAAAAGGUUAUUUGGUGAAGAAAAAUUAUUUUAUAUUCGAUGUUGUAUACACAUUAAAUUUCAUGGUUCAAGAUGAUCUUUUUAAGAUUAAGAAUGUGAUUGGUCAUGUUCAUGAAACUGUUAGUUUUAUUAAUAAGAAUGAGGCAAGACUUAACUGAUUUUUUAACAUAGUACAAUAAUUAUAGUUGCCUGAUAGGAAACUCAUUCUCAAUUGUAAAACAUAUUGGAAUUCAACAUUCGAGAUGUUGUCGACUACAAUCAAAUUCAAAUAAGUGUUUUCAAGACUCAAAGAACAAGAAUUUCAUUACGAAUAUUGUCUAAGUUAUGAAGAUUGGGAAAAUGUGGAGAAAGUUUGUGAGAUUUUAGAAGUUUUUAAUUCAGUUACUAAAAUCAUCUCUAGAAAUGAUUAUCCAACUUUAAACCUAUUUCUAAAUGAAGUUUAUUGUGUGAAAGUGUUGUUGGAUAAAAGGAUGAAUGAUGAAAAUGAAUUUAUUCAAGCAAUGGUUUGCAAAAUGAAAAGUAAAUUUGAUAAGUAUUAAGGAAACUGUUAUUUGGUAAUGGCUAUAGCAGUUAUUUUGGAUCCAAUGUGCAAAAUAAGGGUGGUCGAGUUUUGUUUUCCUCGAAUGUACCUUGAUAGAAAAGUAAGAGAAAAUAUUACUAGAGUUCAAGAUGUUCAUUUUUAAAUUUAUGAGGAAUAUGUGCGUGAGUAUCAAUUUAGCAAUAAGCAUAGUACUGAAACUCAAGCGCAUGAUAGUGGUAUUAGUGGUAUGAAUAUAAAAGCUUUUUCUUUUGGUUGGUCUGAAUUUACAAAUUAUGUAAAAUUAGUUGAAACUGUUCAAUCAUAACAAUUUAAUCUAAAAAACUACCUAGUUGAAGGUUGCUUUAUCUGUAAAAAAGAUUCAUCUAAGUUUGAUGUUUUGAAAUGGUAGAAAGUGAGCACUUUGAAGUACUGUAUUUUAUCGAAGAUGGCUUGCGAUAUACUUGCUAUUCUUAUCACUACAAUGGCUUUAAAGGCUACCUUUAGUGCAGGAGGUGGAGUUAUUGAUACUUAUUAUGUUUCUUUAGCUCUUGACACAAUACAAGCAUUACUUUGUGGAAGAGAUUGGUAUCGAAAUCUUCAUGGAGUGAAGAAUAAGAACAAAGUGAAUUUUUUUAUUAUUGUUAUUUUGUUAUUGGGUAAUUAUCAUUGCUUUAAUAUAAUUUUUAACUAUUAUUUUCUUUUACUUUAUCUAUAUACAAAAGAAAAAAAUCAAUUGAGAUUGCACUCAAAAUCCCCUAAAGUGAAGAUAUCUAGUGUCUUCUAUACAGAUAUGAAAUAUUAUUAUUAAAUACCUUUAAUUUGUCACAAUAUUACCAAAGAAAAAUAGGUGAUAGCUAGUUUAGAUUGAGCUUUUUGCAUUAUAGUUUACGAACCAUAGGUUAACUAAUGAUAAAAACUUAUGUUAAGGAUAUUAUUUUCAUUGUUUAUUAUAAUUUGUUUGUUUUGUAAUUACUCUUUUGUGUAGGUUUGUUGAAAAACAAUAUGAGCCCAAUGUUCAUUUGAAGACAUAAUAUUAUGAAUGCAACAUAUAUAUUGUUGUUAGUUUGUUGUAAUUUAUUUGUGGACUUAUUUGCUUAGAUAUUAAAUUUUUUUCAAUUAGGAUUUAAUUUCUAAGUUUCAUUAUGUCUUUUAUUUGUGUGUUGUAUUUGAAUCAUUUGUUG